This 254-nucleotide ribosomal RNA is filed under the name uncultured bacterium. Its description in RNAcentral is "partial 16S ribosomal RNA". It matches the Rfam family "Bacterial small subunit ribosomal RNA", at positions 524 to 776 of the family's 1533-position model. The record is from RNAcentral.
UACGUAGGGUGCGAGCGUUGUCCGGAAUUAUUGGGCGUAAAGAGCUCGUAGGCGGUGUGUCACGUCGGCCGUGAAAACCUGCAGCUUAACUGUGGGCGUGCGGUCGAUACGGGCAUCACUGGAGUUCGGCAGGGGAGACUGGAAUUCCUGGUGUAGCGGUGGAAUGCGCAGAUAUCAGGAGGAACACCGGUGGCGAAGGCGGGAUCCUGGGCCAGUACUGACGCUGAGGAGCGAAAGCGUGGGGAGCAAACAGG